AUGUGUUGGUGAGGCAGCUGGCGGCUUUUACUACAAGGAGCACCUCCCGAAGCUUGGCAAGCCAGCAGAGCUACAGCGCAGGGUGAGUGCUGAUGGCCAGCCCUUCCAGCGUGGGGACAAGGUCAAGUGUCUGCUGGACACAGAUGUCCUAAGGGACAUGCAAGAAGGCCAUGGUGGCUGGAACCCUAGGAUGGCAGAGGUGAGCCACCUCUUCUGCUGACUCCCCUUGUGCUCCCCUUCCCAAGUCCUUUGGACCCCUAUCCCUCUUCCUGCCCCAAGAGUCCAGCCUGACCCAGCCAUAGCCUCCGUGACCCGCCACAGUUUAUCGGACAGAUGGGCACCGUGCACCGCAUCACAGACCGUGGGGACGUGCGUGUGCAGUUCAACCAUGAAACCCGCUGGACCUUCCACCCUGGGGCUCUCACCAAGGUGCCUAGGGGGCCGGGCUGAGCCCCACUUAUUAUUGCUUCUCUAAUUCCUUCCAUGUACCUAUUCAGUCUUGGGAGUGGUUAGGCAGGACUAGGCACCAGUCUCCCCAUGAGCUUGCAGACUUGAAGGAAGGGGAAAACCUGAUGUGUGGAAGUAAGACCAGAAGGGACACAGAUGUGAGGGAUACAGAGAAGAAUGAAACACAGACGUCUGAGACUAGAACCUGUGGGCCAGGGGCUCAGUCCUGAGAACAGAGGAGUAUGGCAGACUAGACGUGGGGUUGCUUGCCAUACUCCUGAGGAGCUGUUUGCACCACGAGACAGAUGGAGUGGUCUGUAAGGAAACUGCAGUGGAGGCCAACGGUAUUGGAGACUAGUUGGAUAGAGUCUGUGAAAGCUGUUUGGAACACUGGACUGUGGAGAUGAGACAUGACAGA
This 865-nucleotide long non-coding RNA is filed under the name Rattus norvegicus (Norway rat). Its description in RNAcentral is "long non-coding RNA NONRATT023944". The record is from RNAcentral. Lineage: Eukaryota; Metazoa; Chordata; Mammalia; Rodentia; Muridae.